Long non-coding RNA from Empidonax traillii (willow flycatcher), 1342 nucleotides. RefSeq lists it as uncharacterized. The transcript has 8 exons. Lineage: Eukaryota; Metazoa; Chordata; Aves; Passeriformes; Tyrannidae. The record is from RefSeq and is a predicted model, not a curated record.
UUAACUAAUCCUGUCACUGUAAAAUCCUACAGUCAUUCUUCCACACAUAAAGGGAAAACGGACUCACUAGGAGGACCUAGACUGUUUCAGCUUGAACUGUUAACCAAUGGUGGAAAUGCAAGAAUGCUGAAGUUGUGCCUUCAGAGCCAAUAGAGUGGAUUUGUGUGUCCCACAUGACUGUGUUUCCUCUGUCUUUCACAUGGGCAGUAUUUAGUUCAAUUCAGAACUGCAGAUAGUAUAGCGUGCAGAGCAGCAAUGGGAUGUCUGAGCACAAGUGGCUGACUUCCAGGCGACUUCAGGAAGCAGAUUUGUACAUUUCUCCUGAAUUUAACUGGGAUUCUGCACCCUUGACACCCUCCGACCCUCCUUGUCUCUGCAGAAGGAGACAGCGACCUGCACAGCACAACAAAACUACAAAUCACCACAGAGCUGCAGACCAGCAAUGAAGGGAACUGGGCAAUUUGGCCAACAUCAUCUGUGUCGGUUCUCCAGAAGUCGAUGAAACAUGUUAUCGGGUCUCCAAGUUUGCAUUUUACAGCCCACAAGCCUCAGAAGAUUACUGUGUGGAAGAAACACACUGGGCCAACCCAUCCUGUCCAUCUGACACAAAGCACAGCCCAUUUUGGUAUUCUUUCCCUUCUGAAGGAGUCUCAUAUCAGCACAACACCCAUAUCUUCAAUUUAGGUCAGGCCAUGAAGAGGAGGAAGAGGACUGAAGACUGAAGAUGAGAUGCUCUACUUCACACAGUUGCCCUCUGGAAGGACUUGCAAAGGCAGUCACUUAAAUUAAGUACAGCACAGCAAGAGCAGACCUAGCAAAAAAGAAUUCUGACCAGCUGAGCAUCAAGAACACCUUCUGCAGAAGAACUCUGCUCCCAAAUGCAAAUAAGAAAGAAGUUUGGGAAACUGCCAGCUCCUUGCACAAAGACUGAAAUAUGAUGAGCAGAGAAGGGUGUUGACCUUUGAGGCUGCGGUCAAGUCAAUGGAGUUCUGUUGUAGUGGUUGCUUCAGUGAACAUUCAACGCUGUCGGCCUUAACACCGAAGAUAGCAACCUAACCAUCAUAUGAUGUUUCUCCCCCACCCUGCCAAGCUUUACAAAAAAAAAAAAAGGUCACAAUCAACAUUCAUUGCUGUCGGUGGGUUUAACUUUGUGGACAAGCUCACUGAACAAUGAAUGCAACUGUGGCCCCACAUUUUACAGUUGCCGUUGAGAGGAACAGCAGCUCUGAAAGCAGUAGUGAGAGACAAACUUCUUAUAAGCUACAUUUUACUGGUCAGAAAAAUAGUUGGGAGUAUUCACUUUUUGCUUGCUUGUUUUUAAGUGUGUUUGACUUAGCUGACU